CAGGAGUUUCAUAUGGUUCUCAUAGACACUCAUGUUGAAAAAUGAACAACAAAAAAAGUCAUGCUGCAGUUAUUACCAAUCUUUGCUUUCCUGUUUCAUUCCUUUUCUCUCUUUCCUCAUCCUCCAGCGUGGCUAUGGCAUUGAAUACAACUGAGAGCAGGUUCCAACUUCUGGUACUUAUUCUUGGCUCAUUAAUUUUUGGCAAAGUAGAGACAUUUAAAAGGUCUGAUGUUCCCAGGGUAGGUGGCGAUUGAUCAAAAGUCAGCACAGUCAGUGUUGCUAUUUUUUUCAGACUCAUAGUAAUGUUAUUCCCUAAGAGCCCACAAAAACAAAGUAAUUAGGCUGGCUUGAUUGGAGGAAUGGUGGUGGCUGAACCUUCCACAGCACUGAAGAUAGGAGAUUUCCAUGGGACUAACUUUCUUCUACCUAUCUCUUAAGUCUGCCAAAGUCUAAUUUAUAAAAAGACAAGGUAAUGCGUCUUGUGCUUAAAGUGUGUUAUCUGGAUUAUGCCAACUGUGCUCUUCAGGAAUGUGACAUUGUGAAAUGAGAUUUCCACACACCCACAGGAAUGAGCAGACACUGUAUUUAUUAGCCUAGUAAAAGUACAAUGUUAUAUCAACAACACCCAGGCUCUCUCUCUGUUUCUUCCUGUUUGUGUUGUGUGUCUGAGUUAGUCUUGCUCUAAGCCAGUGUUGCCAGGUGUACUCACCAGAGUCUACUCGUUGGAGAUGUGAAUAACAGCCAAAAAAUAGCUAGCCCUGUGUGGAUGCUCCAGCAGAGGUAACAACUGAGAGCCAGUGAGAGAGUAUGCAAAGGAUACGCAUAGCUAUUCGCUGCUGGAGCUUUGAACUUGUCUGCUGAAGAUGAAGAUGCAACAUCACAAUGUGGAGCACUAUGAGCUGUCUGAACAGGAUGGUUAGGAAGACACCGAGUGGUAACUUCAGCUAUUUAAGCUCAGUUAGUGCCUUAAGACAUAUGGCUAUUGGUGUCAGGAAGUGGUGCUGUGUUGGCAGCAGCGUAUACCAUCCCCGAGGAGACUGUAAGUAUGUGUUAAAAAUGGUCCUGUAUAAAAAAAUGAAUUUUACUGAACUCUAAAAAAAGACAGUAAUGGAACUGCUUCUU
Molecule: long non-coding RNA, 1122 nt
Filed under: Numida meleagris (helmeted guineafowl)
Lineage: Eukaryota; Metazoa; Chordata; Aves; Galliformes; Numididae
Description: lncRNA (ENSNMEG00000006625.1)
Source: RNAcentral